This 199-nucleotide unclassified non-coding RNA is filed under the name fungal sp. RNAcentral's name for it is "partial internal transcribed spacer region". The stretch from base 1 to 46 matches the Rfam family "Eukaryotic small subunit ribosomal RNA", at positions 1786 to 1831 of the family's 1831-position model. Lineage: Eukaryota; Fungi. The record is from RNAcentral.
AAGUCGUAACAAGGUUUCCGUAGGUGAACCUGCGGAAGGAUCAUUGCAGGAGCGCAUACUUGGAUGUUUGGUUUGGAGUUUUUGACGGGGAACCCGGCAAAAACUGCGACCACUCACCAACAUGUUUACGCUUGUCUUGUUUGACAGAGUCAUAUCACAGCAACACAUACAACUUUUAACAAUGGAUCUCUUGGCUCUU